CUCUUAUUGUUAUUUAAUGUUCAAAGUUUUUGGUUGAUCAUUCAUAUAUAAUCUUUGUGAAAGUUUUGUAUUCCCAUGGUACCUGAAACAUACAAGUCCUUAGUGAGCAUGUAUUGACUUAAUUCAAUUUGACUUAAGCAUUUGGGGGAGAUCUGGAGGAGUAUUUUGUGUGAUCACAUGAACAAAUAGUUCUUUUAUUCUUCAUUCUUCCUGUUUUACUAAUGUGUUUCUGUUGAAAAAAAAAGUAAGCUACUGCUUUUGCACAGCCUCUAUGAAUAAGUAUCUUGAGAAAGAGUCUGUUAUGUUUAUAUUUGUUUUUGAUCUCACAGAUCAGGACCCACAUCACCUUUUGUGAUAUAACCCCAUUCUAAGAUAUCAGCUUCCGUGUGGGGAAAUCAAAAUAAAAUUCAUGUGGUUCUCUGAAGACACUACCUAGCACCUGAUCUAAUCUGAUCAUUUCACUUGUUGCUAAAAAUCAUGGAAGAUGGAAAGAACCCCAGUGGCCAGCUAAUCUAAAUCAUACCUCAAACAGAAUCCACACUUGAGCAUACUUAACACAUGGGCAUUCACCCUCUUUUUAGAAUGUCUCAUCACAAUUCAGGUACCUCAUUAAGAGAAAUAUUUAAGGGCCGAUUUCCUUACAAACCUGUGUAAACGUAGCAUUUGAAUUAAAAUUAAUUUUUGACAAUAAUCAAACUAAAGGAAGCCCACUGGUCCCAAGGCUGAUCUUGACUUUCUCCUCUUUAGCAGAAAAUGGUCUCUCUGGCCUGAGCAGCACAAGGAGAAGCAGUUCACCCAAGAAGGGAGAGCCAUUAGGCCAGAUUCUCACUAAAGCUGUCACCAUGAUGAUGAUGGAUGAGAGAAGGCUCUGAAAAUGAACCCAUGUAAUCCGGAGGAUUUUCAGCAAACAAAUACAAAUUCAACUUAAUACCCAAACGUGGCUUGUCUGUGAGAACCACCCGACAGGUCCACUCUUCAGGAGGCCCCGCCUGGAUGUUAAGCUUCUGUCCCUGGUGAAGCUGGGUACGUACAACAGAGCAGAGCAUGCAAUCCAGGCCCCACUGGAGUGGCAAGCAAAGCUCCCAGUUCCAUUUCUUUCUGUACAUCAUUAUUCAGAUAAUCUAAACAUAUGCUUUGCUGUGUAUAUAUUCAGAGGAAGCUGAAAUUACAGAGUAACUUGGUUCCCCUCCUAAGAUUUUUAGUCAAGUUCUUUCCAUUUGAACAUUGGGGAACAGAGUAGAAUGUUGCUGUGUCAGAUACACAUUGGGAUCCUAUCUUGUCUAUAAGAUGUUGGAGCAGACUUCACCAGUGAGUGGAAAGUCUCCUGGAGAGUGCAAAGAUGGCACUGGACUUUGGUGCCAGGAGACCAGCCUGGAGUGUCAUCUAUGGGUGGUAGAGAUGGUACAUUAAUGCAGUCUUAAUAGUGUAAGAGUUAAAAUGAAGAGAUUGGCCUCAAAUUAAUAAUUUUAUUAAAUCAAAAAUAGCAGAGAAAGAAAGAUGGAAAAAUAGGAGAGAUAUAAAAGGUACUUUCCUGAUUGCUCCAUUUAGCUUGCUAUUUUAUGGCUGCCAUGAAGGGCCCCCUCUCUCACAGGCAAGUCCAGUCAGCACCAAACAUGGAAGAGAGUGAAAUACACUCUUGCCUCAUUUAUCAAAUUUAUUCUCCACCCAUUAACUCUCACACAUGAUGUCUCCAGAUCCAAAUAUGACUUUUUAUUUUGCCUGUGCCACCUAGGGCAUUACAGGGGAGAUGGCACUGCCCUCUGUCUUGCAAUAUUCUUGACUCCAUUUUUCCGGCUGCUGUUCUGCCCUCAUGACUCAGUUUACCCAAUGAUUUCCCUUUCAUAGUCCUUGUUUCCUGGUCAAAUUUUAACUUAAUACCAAGUACGUGUAGUGGAAAGGGGGACAGGUAAAUUUCCUUUUGCACAUUGGCAUUCAAUUGUUGGGUAAGGUGGUGGUUUUUUUGGUACAGAAAUAUUUUGCAAAAACACUUAAAUGGGAAUAACUCUUUAAAAAAUCGAUCACAGACUUGGAGAUGGAAGGAAUGUAAGACUAACUAAUAUCAGAAUUUAAAGAUGUCCUCAAAUCCCUUCUCACAGAUGACCAGGAUAACCUGGCUCAAAAAAUGGAACGAGCAGUUUCUCUAGUGGUGUUUCCAAGUGCCAGGCUGAGAAUGGGGUGAGCUGAGGGCUCAACCAGAUUGGGUGGGGCAUUUGGCUCAGGCUUCUUUCACCAUAGCCAAAGGACCUAUCUUAAUUGUAUUCCCAGGAAACACCUGGGAAAUCACCUACCACGCUUCCCAAGGCUUAUUUUUCAUAGGAUAAUAAACUUUUUUAAAAAAGAGAGAAAAAAAGUACA
RNAcentral lists this long non-coding RNA (2355 nucleotides) under Monodelphis domestica (gray short-tailed opossum). RNAcentral's name for it is "lncRNA (ENSMODG00000039575.1)". Lineage: Eukaryota; Metazoa; Chordata; Mammalia; Didelphimorphia; Didelphidae. The record is from RNAcentral.